UACACACGUGCUACAAUGGUCGGUACAAAGGGUUGCUACCUAGCGAUAGGAUAGCUAAUCUCAAAAAGCCGAUCGUAGUCCGGAUUGGAGUCUGCAACUCGACUCCAUGAAGUCGGAAUCGCUAGUAAUCGCGGAUCAGAAUGCCGCGGUGAAUACGUUCCCGGGCCUU
Molecule: ribosomal RNA, 169 nt
Filed under: uncultured Acinetobacter sp.
Lineage: Bacteria; Pseudomonadati; Pseudomonadota; Gammaproteobacteria; Moraxellales; Moraxellaceae
Description: partial 16S ribosomal RNA
Rfam family: Bacterial small subunit ribosomal RNA
Source: RNAcentral